CCUACGGGAGGCUGCAGUGAGGAAUAUUGGUCAAUGGACGAGAGUCUGAACCAGCCAAGUAGCGUGAAGGAUGACUGCCCUAUGGGUUGUAAACUUCUUUUAUAAAGGAAUAAAACGAGGCACGUGUGCCUUUUUGCAUGUACUUUAUGAAUAAGGAUCGGCUAACUCCGUGCCAGCAGCCGCGGUAAUACGGAGGAUCCGAGCGUUAUCCGGAUUUAUUGGGUUUAAAGGGAGCGUAGAUGGGUUGUUAAGUCAGUUGUGAAAGUUUGCGGCUCAACCGUAAAAUUGCAGUUGAUACUGGCAGCCUUGAGUACAGUUGAGGUAGGCGGAAUUCGUGGUGUAGCGGUGAAAUGCUUAGAUAUCACGAAGAACCCCGAUUGCGAAGGCAGCUUACUAGACUGUAACUGACGUUGAUGCUCGAAAGUGUGGGUAUCAAACAGGAUUAGAUACCCGAGUAGUC
This 460-nucleotide ribosomal RNA is filed under the name uncultured bacterium. RNAcentral describes it as "partial 16S ribosomal RNA". It matches the Rfam family "Bacterial small subunit ribosomal RNA", at positions 338 to 795 of the family's 1533-position model. The record is from RNAcentral.